RNAcentral lists this ribosomal RNA (98 nucleotides) under Cucumis melo (muskmelon). The record is from RNAcentral. Lineage: Eukaryota; Viridiplantae; Streptophyta; Magnoliopsida; Cucurbitales; Cucurbitaceae.
AAUGCACCAGAUACCAUCAGAACUGUGCAGUUGAGCGUGCUUGGGUGAGAGUAAUACUAAGAUGGGUUACCACUUGGGAAGUCCUCGUGUUGCCCCUU